UGAGUAACCUGCCCUUAACUCUGGGAUAAGCCUGGGAAACCGGGUCUAAUACCGGAUAUGACUCCUCAUCGCAUGGUGGGGGGUGGAAAGCUUUAUUGUGGUUUUGGAUGGACUCGCGGCCUAUCAGCUUGUUGGUGAGGUAAUGGCUCACCAAGGCGACGACGGGUAGCCGGCCUGAGAGGGUGACCGGCCACACUGGGACUGAGACACGGCCCAGACUCCGUACGGGAGGCAG
Molecule: ribosomal RNA, 235 nt
Filed under: uncultured bacterium
Lineage: Bacteria
Description: partial 16S ribosomal RNA
Rfam family: Bacterial small subunit ribosomal RNA
Source: RNAcentral